UACGGGAGGCAGCAGUAGGGGAAUAUUGGGCAAUGGGCGAGAGCCUGACCCAGCCAUGCCGCGUGCAGGAAGAAGGCUUUCUGAGUCGUAAACUGCUUUUGACAGGGAAGAAUAAGGACUACGUGUAGUCUGAUGACGGUACCUGCAGAAUAAGCACCGGCUAACUCCGUGCCAGCAGCCGCGGUAAUACGGAGGGUGCGAGCGUUGUCCGGAUUUAUUGGGUUUUAAAGGGUUGCGUAGGCGGCCGUUUUAAGUCUGGGGUGAAAGCCCGCUGCUCAACAGCGGAACUGCCCUGGAUACUGGAUGGGCUUGAGUACAGACGAGGUUGGCGGAAUGGACAGAGUAGCGGUGAAAUGCAUAGAUACUGUCCAGAACCCCGAUUGCGAAGGCAGCUGCUAGGCUGUUACUGACGCUGAGGCACGAAAGCGUGGGGAGCGGACAGGGAAUUAAGGAUACCC
RNAcentral lists this ribosomal RNA (458 nucleotides) under uncultured bacterium. RNAcentral describes it as "bacterial SSU rRNA". It matches the Rfam family "Bacterial small subunit ribosomal RNA", at positions 340 to 787 of the family's 1533-position model. The record is from RNAcentral.